This is a long non-coding RNA of Seriola dumerili (greater amberjack), 796 nucleotides long. RefSeq lists it as uncharacterized. NCBI's taxonomy places the organism in Eukaryota, Metazoa, Chordata, Actinopteri, Carangiformes, Carangidae. The transcript is spliced from 2 exons. The record is from RefSeq and is a predicted model, not a curated record.
CUUCUAUAACAGUGACACUUCGAGGAGCGCAGCCGAGUAGAGUGGGAUCUCUCAGCCAAGUUGGUGAGGUUGUGACGCCAGCUCGUACCCAUGAGCCCAAGCAGUGAAAAUCUCAGAUCACGGUUUCCAUGUGGUGAUACACCUGAUGUAAGCUGGUGCUGUGCCAGAGGCAUCUGGGAGCCACAGCCUGCUGAUGAGACUGUACCCUCCCUGUAAUGAUGUACACACCACGCUGCCAAAACGAGCAGAACACCUGCCUCACAUCCUCCAGAGUACUCUCCUGUCGAGAUGCUUGAAAAAAGCCUGGGAGUCACUGUCGGUUGUGGAUGAGCCGCUACCAUGCUUAACCUCUGUGUACAUAUGAGUAGCAUUGACUCGCCAAAAUCUGUGCUCUCUUCUUUCAUCCUUAACUUUGAUAAGAAAAUGUUGACAGCCAGAUACACAGCAUGGUCACAUGUUAUCCUUUAGGGAAGAAGUAAUAUCAUAAGUGGAUAAACUGCAACCUCCCUGGACUGUGAUAAUACAACUGUAAAAGGACAGAUGUGCAACUCUUGGUGCUGACUAUACACCAACAGUGUAUUGCAACAACAAAAUGCUGUUUGAUUGUAUAUUAAGUUAAAAUCCCUUUCCCACCAUCUCUGCUACAGUAUCUAUGAUUAACAUGAAUGUGUGUCAAGCAUUUUGAUGUCACAGCUGGAUAUUUCUGAAUAUCCCUGUAUUUGUGAAGUAACUAAAUUUGAAUGUUAGUCAUUGCUUUGAUAUUAUUUAUCACAGUAAUUAUAUCAUCAUCAUUAUA